GUUUCAUUUAAAAAUCACACUAUUUUGUUCAUGACAGAAGAGUUACAGGAACAUAUUCCAAAAUAACUGGUUGCAAAUUGAAUAAUUUUAUGCCCCCAAGUUCUUCUAAUCUACAGCUUUUAUUUCAUUUCCCUAUCAUUUCCUUCUCCAUGGUUGCUGGAAAUUUCUUUGUUUUUUUCCCCAGCAGAGGGUGCAAAAUAUUAAACCUUGGAAGCACUGCAGAAAAGGGUAAACUUGAAAACCCUGAAAAAUAGAGGCAAAAAUAAUUCUUAACUGCUCAUGGCAUUGGACUUGAUCAUGAAGAAGGGAAAUGACAAGCACUGGUGCUCCGAGACAGAAGCACAGGAUUCAGAUGUGUUUAUGCAGGAAGAUUUGCUCCUUGAGACCUCUGCCAUCACUGUCAGAAAAAGCUAUCCUCAGUAAUUGCUGUAUCGUCAGCCAGAUUCUGAGUCAACACAAGUAGUACAGACUGAAUCAAAUUCAAUAAGGAGCCAAGCCCAGCUAGAACCACACUUGAAGUAUUGCUCUCUAACUAAACACAGCUAGAUCAACUCAACCACAGAUAUGUGUCCUUCUGGAUGAUAGUUUGGAAUAUGACAGGAAACAAUAAAAAAUGGGGAUGGUGUUGGACAGAACCUCAUUUGCAUUGGAAAUGAAACAUGAAAUGAUUUCUAGAAGCCUGCAACCUGAGAUUUCUUUGAAAUACACCUUUAAAAAGUCAAUAAAGACAAGAGAGACAGUGUGUUCUGGUCUAAUACAGAAGAAAGUAGGAUUCAAAACUUGCUGGUUCCUACCCCGGAUCUUAUAAGCUAUGGAAGAUUCCAU
RNAcentral lists this long non-coding RNA (825 nucleotides) under Cricetulus griseus (Chinese hamster). RNAcentral describes it as "lncRNA (ENSCGRG00000025398.1)". Lineage: Eukaryota; Metazoa; Chordata; Mammalia; Rodentia; Cricetidae. The record is from RNAcentral.